RNAcentral lists this ribosomal RNA (119 nucleotides) under Pteropus alecto (black flying fox). Lineage: Eukaryota; Metazoa; Chordata; Mammalia; Chiroptera; Pteropodidae. The record is from RNAcentral.
GUCUAUCGCUAUGCCACACUGAAUGGGCUCGAUCCCGUCUGAUCUCGGAAGCUAAGCAGGGUCGGGCCUGGUUGGUACUUGGAUGGGAGACCACCUAGGAAGACUGGGUGCUGUAGGCG